Neltuma alba is the source of this 1026-nucleotide long non-coding RNA. RefSeq lists it as uncharacterized. The record is from RefSeq and is a predicted model, not a curated record. The transcript has 2 exons. NCBI's taxonomy places the organism in Eukaryota, Viridiplantae, Streptophyta, Magnoliopsida, Fabales, Fabaceae.
GGAUGAGUACAAUCUAGUUAGCCCUAAGUUUAGUAGGGGAAAAAUGGAGUCAUGUCCUUCUCAUUCUUGGAACCAAAAUAUUGACCAGUUGUCAGCAGUAUUGGAGUCACCAUUUUUCUUAUAUUGCAGUGAGGAACCAGAAAGGUGUCUCUCAUCCAUCCUUUACCGAAGUACCUAAAUGUUAUGUUUUACAUGCACCUAUUCCAAAAGUACCUGUUUCUGAAGAUUUAGGAGCCUGUAAUUUGACAUCAGAUUCUUCAGGACCUACGGGAGCUGAGAAGGAUGACAAUAUUGAUGAGGACAGAGUAAAUAUCAGAGCCAGUUCAAUUCCACCUCCUCGCGCUGUUAUAUCUAGUCCAGAUAAUGACACCAUGAUUGGGAAUAAAAAUCGGAUUAAAGGCAGGGAAAGACUUCCAGGUUCAAAGAACUGUGGAGUGCCGCAAAAUAGACAUGCAAUCUGUAAGGUUAAAACAAGCAACGGUACUGAAAAUUCCCGAAACAUGAGAAAACCCAAGGAAGCUGCAGAUAAAUCAAGUAAUUUUACUGAUUCUGUACAAAAGAGAAGGCCAACCAAGUCAGCAUCAAAUCAGAAAACUAAUCACCCGAAGAAGUGGGAGUUCUAGCUCCACUACACUGUUGGAGCAUGCCUGUGUUUAUCUGAUUUUGAAAAUGAACAGUGCGAAUCUGACAUGGGUUACUUGUAAAAUGCUGCAAUCAAAAAGUUUUACUGGCCUAUUAUAAUCCUUCAAAUGCAUGGGUUCAGGAUGAUUGAGAAAAUGCUCGACAUAUAAUGUGCCAGCCCAGUGGUGGAAUGUGGGUGCUGCAAGGUAAACCUGUGUAAGGGGGCAUCGAGAUUAUGAAUUUGAUUGCUUAUGUAGUUGUCUGGUUCAAUUAUCAGUUCCAGUUACAGAUGAAACAGGUUCUUGGAUUUGACUAGAGUAUAAUUUCAGGCAUGCUGCUCAACUUAAUUUAUGUCGUAGUCGAUACGUUUUUUCGCUUAUAAACUAUGAUAAAUUACUCGUGCGA